Molecule: ribosomal RNA, 1410 nt
Filed under: Triticum aestivum (bread wheat)
Lineage: Eukaryota; Viridiplantae; Streptophyta; Magnoliopsida; Poales; Poaceae
Description: partial small subunit ribosomal RNA
Source: RNAcentral
AUACAUGCAUGGAUUUGUGUUUCACGAGACUACAAUGAAGUAACUCUUCUGAAAGAGGUUCUUCGGAAUAUUGGUGUGCAUCAUGAGCAAGGUGAAACCAUAGCAGAGCUGCAGAGGAAGCUUGCAGAAACCAUUGAAGGAAGGAGUUUCUUUUUGGUUCUGGAUGAUGUGUGGCAUUCCAAUGUGUGGACGGAUUUACUAAGACCUGCGUUUCAUGAAACAACUGCGGGAAUAAUAUUGGUAACCACACGAGAUGAUCAAAUUGCAAUGAGAAUAGGGAUACAACAUACCCAUCAAGUUGAUCUCAUGUCAGCAGAGGUGGGGUGGGAGCUACUUUGGAAGAGCAUGAACAUUGACGAAGAGAAAGAAGUGCAGAAUUUAAGAAACACAGGAAUUGAGAUUGUUCGUAAAUGUGGUCACCUCCCUCUUGCAAUCAAGGUUACCGCUAGUGCUUUGGCAAGCAGAGAUCUAACGGAGAAUGAGUGGAAAAAGUAUUUGGGCAAAUAUGCUGGUUCCCAGAACAUGCUCUUGGAUGAAAUAGAAGGAGCUUUGUAUCUAAGCUAUGAUGAGUUAACACAUCGUCUGAAGCAGUGUUUCCUUUAUUGUGCUUUGUAUGCUGAAGAUUCUAUCAUUGAGCGUGAAGAAGUUACCAGGUUAUGGAUUGCUGAAGGAUUCAUCGAGGAGCAGCAAGGCCAACUACUAGAAGACAUAGCAGAAGAGUACUACUACGAGCUAAUACAUCGGAAUCUCCUCCAGCCAGAUAUUAACAGUUUUGACCAGGCUGAAUGCAAAAUGCAUGACCUCUUGAGGCAGCUUGCUUUAAAUAUAUCAAGAGAAGAAUGUUUUGUUGGAGAUGUUGAAUUAUUAAGGGGUGGAAAUAUGUCAAAACUUAGACGUGUUACUGCUGUCAGUAAGAAAGAUAUGUUAGUGUUACCUAGAGUGGAUAAGGUGGAUGUUAAGGUGAGGACUUUCCUAACUGUUAAGGGUCCAUGGAGAAUUGAGGAUACAUUGUUCAAGAAAUCUCUGCUUCUUCGUGUUUUGGUACUGAAUUACUCACUUGUACAAAGCACUCCAGAGUAUAUAGGAAAAUUGAUACAUCUACGUCUACUUAAUCUGGAUUAUACUGGCAUAUCUUGUCUUCCGGAAUCCAUUGGCUCCCUAAAGAACCUUCAAGUACUGAGCUUGAGAUGGUGUGAUGAUCUGCACACUCUUCCUUUGGCAAUGAUCCUGUUGAGCAGCUUAAGAUGUCUUGAUCUUUGUGGCACCGAAAUAAAUGAGCUUCCAAAAGGGAUAGGGAAACUGAAGUUCCUCACUUUUGUAGAAGAUUAUCCUGUUGGUGAUGGAAGUGAGAAUGCUGUUGUACAAGAUGGAUGGAAGUUGGAAGAGUUGUCUUCUUUGUCGCAGUUUUAA